UGGGGAAUAUUGGACAAUGGGCGCAAGCCUGAUCCAGCCAUGCCGCGUGAGUGAUGAAGGCCUUAGGGUUGUAAAGCUCUUUUAGCAGGGAAGAUAAUGACGGUACCUGCAGAAAAAGCCCCGGCUAACUUCGUGCCAGCAGCCGCGGUAAUACGAAGGGGGCUAGCGUUGCUCGGAAUUACUGGGCGUAAAGCGCACGUAGGCGGACUCUUAAGUCGGUGGUGAAAUCCUGGAGCUCAACUCCAGAACUGCCUUCGAUACUGGGAGUCUUGAGUUCGGGAGAGGGGAGUGGAACUGCGAGGGUAGAGGUGAAAUUCGUAGAUAUUCGCAAGAACACCGGUGGCGAAGGCGGCUCACUGGCCCGAUACUGACUCUGAGGUGCGAAAGCGUGGGGAGCAAACA
Molecule: ribosomal RNA, 402 nt
Filed under: uncultured bacterium
Lineage: Bacteria
Description: bacterial SSU rRNA
Rfam family: Bacterial small subunit ribosomal RNA
Source: RNAcentral